AAGGUUGAUGACUAACUGGCUUAACCGGGUCGAUACCUUCCAAUGUUUUCAUUAUAUGCUUUUUUUGUUGUUUUCUUAAUCAUUAUUCGUUUUUUUUUUUGCUCUAUUAGAACCAACUAGGGAAACAUCGGAGGUAUCAAUCCUAUUCGGAAUAAUCAUGUGGUCCAUUCUCUCUCUUAACUUCGGCGGAAUAUGAGCAAAACGGCCAAUAUAACUAAUAAUAUCCUGGAUCAUAUAUCACCUAAAUGAACUUAUUUUUCAGGUGUCUGCCGGCUUCAAAUCUGUCGCAGAGAAAAUACCUAUGGGUUUACCCCACUCAUCUUUCAAAUCAUAACAAUUUGUGCCAACCCGCGCGAUUACUGUGCAUGGAACGUAACAAGGACCUAAUUUCGCAUUGUAGUUACUUGGCGCUGACGACUGUCUAAAAUUUCUCUUGAGAACUUUCUGUCCCACUGAGUAUGAAGGUUUCUUCGAACCAGGUCGUAAAUAAACUGAUCGAUGGCGUUUUUAGUUUUCAUUCUUUCCUUUUCCGAAAUAUCCAGGUCAUCGAGAUCUAAGCGAUGUUCAUCACCCCUAGUCACGAUUUCGUGACCGUAUAGUAUUCUG
Molecule: long non-coding RNA, 606 nt
Organism: Toxorhynchites rutilus septentrionalis
Lineage: Eukaryota; Metazoa; Arthropoda; Insecta; Diptera; Culicidae
Exons: 3
Source: RefSeq, a predicted model, not a curated record